Molecule: ribosomal RNA, 380 nt
Filed under: uncultured eukaryote
Lineage: Eukaryota
Description: partial 18S ribosomal RNA
Rfam family: Eukaryotic small subunit ribosomal RNA
Source: RNAcentral
CAAGGGCGUAUAUUAAUGUUGUUGCAGUUAAAAAGCUCGUAGUUGGAUUUCUGGUGGGAGCGAUUGGUCUGCCCCGCGAGGGGUAUGUUACCGGUUCGUAUCCGGCCCUAUUCGGGUUGAUCGUGGCUGGCAUUAAUUUGUCGGUGCGGGAGGCCCGUCGUUUACUGUGAACAAAUUAGAGUGUUCAAAGCAGGCUUUCGCUUGAAUACAUUAGCAUGGAAUAAUAAGAUAGGACUUUGGUGCUAUUUUGUUGGUUGAGCCUAAAGUAAUGAUUAAUAGGGAUAGUUGGGGGCACCUGUAUUGCGUUGUCAGAGGUGAAAUUCUUGGAUUUACGCAAGACAAACAGCUGCGAAAGCGUCUGCCAAGGAUGUUUUCAUUAA